RNAcentral lists this ribosomal RNA (433 nucleotides) under uncultured bacterium. RNAcentral's name for it is "partial 16S ribosomal RNA". It matches the Rfam family "Bacterial small subunit ribosomal RNA", at positions 29 to 507 of the family's 1533-position model. The record is from RNAcentral.
AACGAACGCUGGCGGCAUGCCUAACACAUGCAAGUCGAACGAGACCUUCGGGUCUAGUGGCGCACGGGUGCGUAACGCGGGGGAACCUGCCCUUAGGUUCGGAAUAACUCCCCGAAAGGGGUGCUAAUACCGGAUAAUGUCUUCGGACUAAAGAUUUAUCGCCUUUGGAUGGGCCCGCGUUGGAUUAGCUAGUUGGUAGGGUAAAAGCCUACCAAGGCGACGAUUCAUAGCUGGUCUGAGAGGAUGAUCAGCCACACUGGGACUGAGACACGGCCCAGACUCCUACGGGAGGCAGCAGUGGGGAAUAUUGGACAAUGGGCGAAAGGCUGAUCCAGCAAUGCCGCGUGAGUGAUGAAGGCCUUAGGGUUGUAAAGCUCUUUUACCCGGGAUGAUAAUGACAGUACCGGGAGAAUAAGCUCCGGCUAACUCCGUG